UUGUCCCUGCAGUGUUCGUGACUUGGCUUUAUAAACCUUGAACCAAUGUCUUUUGGCAUAAGGUUGCUGGAUUGACAAGCUGGAGUGCUCUCCUUAACUGGCGAACCCGAAGCUUGACUGAAGGCGACCACCGUGAACCUCCGGUUCCAGGGUGCCGGCCUAGACGGCACAUGCGGGGCAUUU
RNAcentral lists this non-coding RNA (183 nucleotides) under Alcaligenaceae bacterium. RNAcentral's name for it is "6S RNA". It matches the Rfam family "6S / SsrS RNA". Rfam says of the family: E. coli 6S RNA was the first non coding RNA to be sequenced, but its function was unknown until recently. It consists of 184 nucleotides that fold into an extended hairpin structure with a large single-stranded internal bulge. Lineage: Bacteria; Pseudomonadati; Pseudomonadota; Betaproteobacteria; Burkholderiales; Alcaligenaceae. The record is from RNAcentral.